GGAGAAAAGCAGGGGAUCGCAAGACCUUGCGCUAAAGGAGCGGCCGAUGUCUGAUUAGCUAGUUGGUGGGGUAAAGGCUUACCAAGGCAACGAUCAGUAGUUGGUCUGAGAGGACGACCAACCACACUGGGACUGAGACACGGCCCAGACUCCUACGGGAGGCAGCAGUGGGGAAUUUUGGACAAUGGGCGAAAGCCUGAUCCAGCCAUGCCGCGUGAGUGAAGAAGGCCUUCGGGUUGUAAAGCUCUUUUAGUCGGAAAGAAAGAGUUGCAAUGAAUAAUUGUGAUUUAUGACGGUACCGACAGAAAAAGCACCGGCUAACUACGUGCCAGCAGCCGCGGUAAUACGUAGGGUGCGAGCGUUAAUCGGAAUUACUGGGCGUAAAGGGUGCGCAGGCGGUCUUGCAAGUCAGAUGUGAAAGCCCCGGGCUUAACCUGGGAAUUGCGUUUGAAACUACAAAGCUAG
This 465-nucleotide ribosomal RNA is filed under the name uncultured ammonia-oxidizing bacterium. RNAcentral describes it as "bacterial SSU rRNA". It matches the Rfam family "Bacterial small subunit ribosomal RNA", at positions 198 to 644 of the family's 1533-position model. The record is from RNAcentral. RNAcentral also lists the same sequence under 1 other name.